RNAcentral lists this ribosomal RNA (259 nucleotides) under uncultured prokaryote. Its description in RNAcentral is "partial 16S ribosomal RNA". It matches the Rfam family "Bacterial small subunit ribosomal RNA", at positions 524 to 782 of the family's 1533-position model. The record is from RNAcentral.
UACGUAGGGUGCGAGCGUUGUCCGGAAUUAUUGGGCGUAAAGAGCUUGUAGGCGGUUUGUCGCGUCUGCUGUGAAAAUCCGGGGCUCAACCCCUGACUUGCAGUGGGUACGGGCAGACUAGAGUGUGGUAGGGGAGACUGGAAUUCCUGGUGUAGCGGUGAAAUGCGCAGAUAUCAGGAGGAACACCGAUGGCGAAGGCAGGUCUCUGGGCCACUACUGACGCUGAGAAGCGAAAGCAUGGGGAGCGAACAGGAUUAGA